RNAcentral lists this ribosomal RNA (328 nucleotides) under uncultured eukaryote. RNAcentral's name for it is "partial 18S ribosomal RNA". It matches the Rfam family "Eukaryotic small subunit ribosomal RNA", at positions 1470 to 1796 of the family's 1831-position model. The record is from RNAcentral.
CCCUUAGAUGUCCUGGGCCGCACGCGCGUUACACUGAUGCAUUCAAAGAGCUUAUAACCUUGGCCGAGAGGCCUGGGCAAUCUUGUUAACGUGCAUCGUGAUAGGGAUAGAUUAUUGAAAUUAUUAAUCUUGAACGAGGAAUUCCUAGUAAACGCAGAUCAUCAAUCUGCAUUGAUUACGUCCCUGCCCUUUGUACACACCGCCCGUCGCACCUACCGAUUGGAUGGUCCGGUGAAGCCUCGGGAUUGUGGUUCUUGCCGCUUUAUUGUGGCGUGACCGCGAGAACUUGUCUAAACCUUAUCAUCUAGAGGAAGGUGAAGUCGUAACA